GAGAAGGGUAAGAGAAAGUCAGAGUAAACAGCCAAUCAGCACUGAAGGGGUUCAGGAAUUAUGGCGUAUACCUGAGUGGAUUUACUAUCUAAGCCAAUGUCACAGCUUUGAAAUAUACAUCUGAAACCCUAGAGGCAUCUCAUGUAAAGACUUUGAGACUCAGGUCAAGUGGUCAGAUGAUUUUUUCAAGCUUUGAGGAUCAUUUCCUCCAGGACCCAUCAACAGAGUGAAUUCUCUGCACUGUGAUUUCCUUUCUGCUGAAUAGAAAGGUGAGGGUUGGUUAGCAACUUCCAGACCACCAUCCUUCCAUCCCAGAAUCUGCAGAUCUGCCUCUGAAAGUCCUGGAAUCUGUGCAUGGAAAGAGAGGAGGAGAAGACAGAGAUGAGGAAAAGUUGGGCAAGCAGGACUGUGGCGUAUUUUGGCUGUUGAAGAUGCACACUAAGAGGAGGGGGCUUUGCUCCCCAGCUGUCUGUUCCCAAUAUGUUGCUAUGAAUGCCACGUGGGAAGAGAAGCACCUUGACAUGGAUGCAGUGAUGCCUGCGGUGCUAACAGCUGAUAAGCAGUACAGAAGGGGCCCUUUCUUGAAAGCAUUUGUCCUGCUCUCGUCCAGUAAAAUCGUUCAGGGCAUGUAUGGGUUAUCUGAAUCAGGAAAUAUUGGCU
This is a long non-coding RNA of Mauremys reevesii (Reeves's turtle), 660 nucleotides long. RefSeq lists it as uncharacterized. NCBI's taxonomy places the organism in Eukaryota, Metazoa, Chordata, Testudines, Geoemydidae. The record is from RefSeq and is a predicted model, not a curated record. The transcript is spliced from 3 exons.